Molecule: long non-coding RNA, 1450 nt
Filed under: Olea europaea subsp. europaea
Lineage: Eukaryota; Viridiplantae; Streptophyta; Magnoliopsida; Lamiales; Oleaceae
Source: RNAcentral
CUCACGCUCUCUCUCUCUCUCUCUCUCUCUCUCGCGUGUGCACUGGUCACUCCCCGUGUCCUUGGUUUUCCUCAAAUCAUUGACCCCAACCUAACCUUCUAGUUGCCGGCAACGGUCGUCGAUGCUGGUGGUGGUCAGUCACAACUGAUAGCCUUCAAUUUUGUUGCUUUACUUGUCCAUAGUUGCAACUUUAAAGUGGUAAGUUGUCAAUAUCCUUUAUGAAAUUGUGGGUUAUUUCUGGAUCUUCAAAGUUUUUGUGAUUUUUUUGGUGAUUUUAUCUACUUGACUGCGUGAUUUGAACAUGGAAAUGAACUGCUAAAAUAAGAUUCGUGAUAAACCUUAUUAUCAGCAACAAGUUUGUCCACCAAUUGAACAAAAGGAUUAAAUUGAGGAUUUUUAGUUUAGUAGCUUCACCUGAUUCCAAUCUGCUGUCUUUAAUAGAUUCUGCUUGAUCUGUUAGAUGUUGUUGCAGAUCUGUUAUUUCUUGACGUAGAUUGCAGUUUACUCUGUUAGAAAUAAAUAACUCUUUUAUUUUGAGUUUUGCAUAUGUAAGUUAAUGGUGCUGAUCGUUGAUAUGUGGAUAUGUACUCAUAGUACAUGUACAUUCUUUUAUCAUCUCUUGUUUCUAUAUUUGUUUUAUGUUGUGGUUUCCAGUUCAUAGAAAAUGGCCUAUGGUGAGGAUAUUCAGCCCCUUGUUUGUGACAAUGGAACUGGAAUGGUGAAGGUUCGUAAACAUUUUUAAAUUCUCUAGUCUUCAGUUUUCAAUUUAUUAUGUAAUUAAUUUCGAGGGACUUGUUUAAUGUUACUCCUGCAGGCUGGUUUUGCCGAUGAUGAUGCUCCUGCAGAUACGUGAUAAACCUUUCUUUCCAUUGCCAAACUCCAACAAUAUGCUUAGAUUGUGAUGGAGGUAUUCAACACAAUGGUGAUGCACUGGGUGGAACCAAUGUUGGUGAUAUUAAAAGAAUGGAAACAAAACAAGCAGUGUCUCCACCCUUUUUCUCACUCGUCUCCAUUUUCUAGCAUGUUGCUCUGUCUACUCUGCUAAUAUAUUUUUUUUAUUGAAUUAAAAACACAGUCACAUAGACAGGGGCGAAUCCAGGAUUUUGAGUCAGCACGGGCGGCCGUUGACCAUCUAUCGCCGAUCGCAACAAAAUAUUAAGAGUCCAUUUGAUGCCAUUUUUUUUUUGUAAAAAAUGCAUUUUUGAACAGUGAUUUCAAGGAGAAAGUGUGGCUAAAAAUAAAUAAAUUUUUUGAAUUUGCAUAUAAUAUUAUUUUAUUGAAAAAUGUGUAAAUAAAAAGAAGAGAAAAAAUGGGAAUCGAAUAAAGCCUAAAGUUUAAAUAUAACAAUUAUUUUGUUCAAAUUGAAUAUAUAUAAUUUUAUUAUAAGAAUAAAGAUGACUCAUUAAAUGACAUUAUUGUCAAGUUUUGUAUAAUUUAAAGGAAGAGGGCG